GGUCCCCCGCCCCCAUCCCGUAGCCCAGACCCAGAGGGGGCGGGGCAGGGCGUUGUCACUCAACCCCAUUGGCCAACGGGAGGGGGACGAGCCCCUCCUCCUCCCCAGGGCCGCGGUGCGGGCAUGCGCAGUGGGCGUCCCAGUGCCACCGCCCGUCAGCUGAGAGCCGUGGCUGGGGGCCCGGUGCCGGUGGGUGCGGCUGGCCCGAGGAGGAGGAGGAGGGCGCGGAGGACCGGGUUUUUUAGGUGACUGCAUAGAAAACUGCCCAACCUGCCAACAUCUGAUGAAAUUAGUGAAUAAGCAAAUCAACUAUGUCUUACACUGUGGGAGUUGGUGGUGACCCUGCUCUACUGGCCCAGCGUAUCUCUUCUAACAUCCAGAAGAUCACACAAUGUUCAGUUCUUAAUGGAUUUGCCUGUGAAUUUAUUUGGAAGAACCUAACGUCAUACAAAAUAGUAUUCUGUAAGUCUUGGUACAUUUAUUUUUCCCAGUCUUUUUUCUUGUUGGAAUGUCAUUAUCUUUGACCAUUAUUUGAAGAAACCAUUGUUGUGGUAGCGUGUCACUGGUAUUGGGUAUGGCCAUCUGCUUCUCUGGAAUAGCUUGGUCAUUAUCCCAUUUAAAGUCCAAGAGAAUGCCCACAAACAUCAACAAGAUUCCCUCCUAGCCUGUGGACUAUGACUUUCUUAUUGAGGACUGUGAAAACGACUAGCUAAAAAACCAACCGAGGCCCUCUUAUUUGUGAAUACCCAGAGCACUGUCUUGCUGUUGGGGCUUGAGAGGAGAGCUGGGCAGGAUGGCCCAGAUACAUCCAGUGAUUUUAGUUGUGUAGUAUUGCCAGUACACCCUACUUUAUUCACAAAACUUUAGAAGGUGUAAAAUUAGUAUCUUUUAACAAUGGGCAUACCUUGGAAGUAUUGUGGAUUUGGUUUCAAACCAAUAAAUUAAGUUAAAUUUUUGGUUUCCCA
This 965-nucleotide long non-coding RNA is filed under the name Vulpes vulpes (red fox). Its description in RNAcentral is "lncRNA (ENSVVUG00000018988.1)". Lineage: Eukaryota; Metazoa; Chordata; Mammalia; Carnivora; Canidae. The record is from RNAcentral.